GUAGGGAAUAUUGGACAAUGGGGGGAACCCUGAUCCAGCCAUGCCGCGUGGAGGAAGACUGCCCUCUGGGUUGUAAACUGCUUUUAUCUGGGAAGAAAAAGGCCAUGCGUGGCAAAUUGCCGGUACCAGAUGAAUAAGCACCGGCUAACUCCGUGCCAGCAGCCGCGGUAAUACGGAGGGUGCGAGCGUUGUCCGGAUUUAUUGGGUUUAAAGGGUGCGUAGGCGGCUGAUUAAGUCAGCGGUGAAAGACUUCGGCUUAACCGGAGCAGUGCCGUUGAUACUGGUUGGCUUGAGUGUCGGAGGGGUACAUGGAAUUGAUGGUGUAGCGGUGAAAUGCAUAGAUACCAUCAGGAACACCGAUAGCGAAGGCAUUGUACUGGCCGACAACUGACGCUGAUGCACGAAAGUGUGGGGAUCGAACAGGAUUAGAUACCCUUGUAGUCC
Molecule: ribosomal RNA, 444 nt
Filed under: uncultured bacterium
Lineage: Bacteria
Description: partial 16S ribosomal RNA
Rfam family: Bacterial small subunit ribosomal RNA
Source: RNAcentral